RNAcentral lists this microRNA precursor (127 nucleotides) under Myotis brandtii (Brandt's bat). RNAcentral's name for it is "mir-9193 microRNA precursor family". The record is from Rfam by way of RNAcentral. Lineage: Eukaryota; Metazoa; Chordata; Mammalia; Chiroptera; Vespertilionidae.
UGUGCACCAGUGGGGUCCCUCGGCCUGGCCUGUGCCCACUCAUAAUCUGGGACCCCUCAGGGGAUGUAGGAGAGCCGGUUUCGGCCUGAUCCCCGCAGGCCAGGCUGAGGGACUCCACUGGUGCACG